CUACGGGAGGCAGCAGUGAGGAAUCUUCCGCAAUGGGCGAAAGCCUGACGGAGCGACACCGCGUGAAGGAUGACACCCUUUUUGGGCGUAAACUUCUGUUCUGAGGGAACAAAUUUUGAGGGUACCUCAGGAGAAAGCACCGGCUAAUUCCGUGCCAGCAGCCGCGUAAGACGGAAGGUGCGAGCGUUACUCGGAAUCACUGGGCGUAAAGCGUCUGUAGGCUCCUUUGUAAGUCUGGUGUCAAAGCGCAGAGCUCAACUCUGCGUCUGUACCGGAAACUGCAAAGGUAGAGCAACUCAGGGGCACCUGGAAUGCUGUGAGUAGGGGUUAAAUCCGUUGAUACACAGUGGAACGCUAAAAGCGAAAGCAGGGUGCUGGGAGUUCGCUGACGCUGAGAGACGAAAGCGUGGGUAGCGAACGGGAUUAGAUACCCGCGUAGUC
RNAcentral lists this ribosomal RNA (441 nucleotides) under uncultured bacterium. RNAcentral's name for it is "partial 16S ribosomal RNA". It matches the Rfam family "Bacterial small subunit ribosomal RNA", at positions 339 to 795 of the family's 1533-position model. The record is from RNAcentral.